GGGGGUGAAAAGGGUUCGACGAGGAUGUAGAAGGUUUAAGCUGCAUGCCGGGGAUUCCUAUCUCCUCGUGAAAAAGAUAGGACAAAACAAGUGCCAAUGAUUAUGGCUAUGCCCUGGCUGCUUAAUUAAGACAGCCAGCGUCUGCCCAGUCCGGCCUGCAGGACUGAGGACAGGCGUCGGUAAAGCAGGCUAGCUAUUAAAUGGUGCCCAUAACAUUUAAUAGCGAAACUUUAAAUGGGCUAGCUUUUGUCCUUUUUGUUCGGAAAAAGGGCAAAGGCGAAUAUGGGAAUCCGGACUAAGCAUGUAGAUGCUUAAACUUAGCAUCCUCGGACGCGGGUUCGAUUCCCGCCACCUCCACCA
Molecule: non-coding RNA, 360 nt
Organism: Candidatus Desulfofervidus auxilii
Lineage: Bacteria; Pseudomonadati; Thermodesulfobacteriota; Candidatus Desulfofervidia; Candidatus Desulfofervidales; Candidatus Desulfofervidaceae
Rfam family: transfer-messenger RNA
About the family: Bacterial tmRNA, also known as 10Sa RNA or SsrA, is named for its dual tRNA and mRNA-like properties. Its role is to liberate the mRNA from a stalled ribosome. To accomplish this part of the tmRNA is used as a reading frame that ends in a translation stop signal.
Source: Rfam